GACGAACGCUGGCGGCGUGCCUAAUACAUGCAAGUCGAACGCUUCUUUCCUCACGAGUGUUUGCCCUCGAUUGGAAAGGGGGGUGGAGGACCGCUUAGUUACCCGUCAGUAACCUACCCAUUAGCGGGGGAUAACCCUAGCUAACAGGUGCUAAUAUGUCAUACCAGAUUAUUCAGCAGUGCAUAAGAGUGUAGGUCGCUUUUGGGUGUCGCUCCUGGCCGGAUCCGCGGUGCAUUAGCUAGUUGGUGAGGUAACGGCUCACCAAGGCGACGAUGCAUAGCCGACCUGAGAGGGUGAUCGGCCACACUGGGACUGAGACACGGCCCAGACUCCUACGGGAGGCAGCAGUAGGGAAUCUUCGGCAAUGGACGAAAGUCUGACCGAGCAACGCCGCGUGAGUGAAGAAGGUCUUCGGAUCGUAAAACUCUGUUGUUAGAGAAGAACAAAUACGUUAGUAACUGAGCGCCUCCUGACGGUACCUAACCAGAAAGCCACGGCUAACUACGUG
RNAcentral lists this ribosomal RNA (508 nucleotides) under uncultured bacterium. Its description in RNAcentral is "partial 16S ribosomal RNA". It matches the Rfam family "Bacterial small subunit ribosomal RNA", at positions 28 to 507 of the family's 1533-position model. The record is from RNAcentral.